This is a long non-coding RNA of Drosophila ananassae, 2064 nucleotides long. RefSeq lists it as uncharacterized. Lineage: Eukaryota; Metazoa; Arthropoda; Insecta; Diptera; Drosophilidae. The record is from RefSeq and is a predicted model, not a curated record. The transcript is spliced from 3 exons.
AGCGUUCUCUGCUUUCAAUUAAGUUCUCUGCCGGUCAAGUUCAUAGGCACUUGGCAACCUCAUCUACACUUUAAAUUGAUAAAAUUGCUAGUGUUAUUAUUGUUGGUGGCACCCUAGAACAUUUUUUUUACUGAAAAAUGCAUUAAACAUAACAAAUUGUCUAGAGAAAGUCUGGGAAAAAACCCGCCCCAUUUAAAAUUAAAAUUUUUUGUUUUUAAAUAUUUAUGGUGUCAAAAGAAAAUAUCAUUCUCUCUGUACGUUCAAGUCUUCUCAUUUUAAAAUAUUUUAAAGAAUGGUGGCUUUAUUAGUUGUGCUUUGUUGCCAUAAUUAAAAUCCAAAUUUUUUAGUGUUUUAAGUCGGAAUUAUACUUGAAGAGGUUCUAAUUUAGAUUUUACAAGUUAGUGUACCCGACUCAUCAAAAGAUACCCUAUUUAUUUAGAAUCCAGCAUAUGCAAAAUUAAAUAUAUGUAUGUUUGUAUAGUUGUGACUUCUGAUCUUAUAUAAUUGGCGCAUGAUGACCAUGGGCGUCUCAGGGAUGCUCUGUGCCCACGACCCUAACUUUUUUGAAGUGGAUUCCUGCCAUUAUAACUCUGCCUCCCCAUUAUUUUGAUACGGGAAUACGGUUUAUGGAAUAGCUGCUUUUGCUAACCCCAACUAUGGCGGUGCCUACAUAUAUUGGGUUAUAUUGGACUACUGCACCAUGAAAGAGUGACACUGAAAAAAAUAUUGAAAAAUCAAAAGAAUAAUACACUCUUGCGAAAUAAUUUUCGACACCUUUUCGGUACUCGAAACGCCGAUGAAAAAAGGGCGCUAUUCCUCGGAUGUAACUUCGUGGAGCUAUGGCAUCAGGAAACUGGCGGAGUGACGAGAUUGGGAAACCCCACCAUUACAUAGGGAAGCACAUAGAAAAAAUUCGUCAAAUUAAAAAACGAGUAAAUUGCCAGACCUAUGGAAACCGGAAGCGGGCGGAGUGGGGAGAUUUGGAAACCAAAAUGAUUUGGUAUACCUGUGGCCACAUUUCGCAAGCCACAAGCGACAAUCUUCUUAGCGCAACUGUAUUGAAUCAGGACAUUAUCCAUGUCAAAAUAAGCGAAUUUCAUAUUUCAUUAUGGUAUAUACCGAAUCCCUGACUGUCAAUCCUAAGAAGUCAUCAUACUAGACGAAGCCAUCGAAGCAAUGAGAUUGAAUGAUAUUUAUUUAACAUUCCGUCCGAUGUUAAAGGCUUGUGGUCCCCCUAAUAAAAUGCAUAUCAUCAAAAAGUUAUAUAUUUAUUAAAAUUAAGUCGAUUUCAAUUGUUAUUGAAUAGUAAAAAGGAUGAAUUGUUUGAUGUUUCUACAUGAAAUGUGUCUGAAUAUUCUACUCGGGGUUAUAUAAAACGGCGUAUAAGUAUUGUGAGAACUACUGACAAGAUUAAAAUCCAAAAAGUCAAGUGAAACUCGGCGGCUCCAUCGGCUUUAAAAGUAUUAUUGUUCAUACCUUUAUAGCUUUCAUAAAGAUGCUCACUUAAACGUUGUUGGCCAAAGUUAUAGAAAAGAAUUGUCCUAUGUUGCACCACCUUGGUUUUCGUAAGGUUGAAUGAAUUUUGAGGUCUACCCUGCAAGCACACGGAGCUCAGAUCAUCGAUCAAAUGCAGGUGGUAUGGUAGGCAUGCGAUUACGCUGGCAUAUGCUUUAACUGGGUCGGGAAGAUAUCCGUUUUGGGUCCCGCAUAAAAUUUGAUCCAUGCUUUUAAAGAAUACAUGUGUGCAUUUUUCAAGGCCCAUGACGUUAAACACAGCCAUUAUAUCAGCAGCGUCUUUCCGUCUGAACACCGAAAAUGGUUCCAAAUGUUUCACAAGUCUGUUAUUAAAGCGAGAACGGAUCUUUUUUGGAUAUAGGUCGGAGCAAAGCCUUAUCCAGUGGUCGGCUCUAAAUGUAUGGCAGCUCGGCACGUUCUUGUCAGAGUUAAAAUAGACUAGUUGUGGAUCUCCCAUGAUUGUCACGAAAAUUUUGCAAAUUUUUUUGUUGUUACAACUCCAAAUUUUGAAUCUGACUAAAAACUCAGUGCUUCAACUCGUUAAAAUUG